GGGGUGUCACUAGUCAUGAGCAACUAUCAAGGUCUGAAUACAACAAAAGUCUAAAAAUGUACUAAAUACAGUAACAACAAUGAGGGGAAGGAAGCGGUGCUGUGAACGUCAUGCAGCCACCUUGCUAACUCUGAUGACCCUGCGGCUAAGCUAUCAACACCCGCUACCGGAUUCCGAUAUACCUGAAUCUGCACAUGAGGUGUAGGGAGUAAUGUGAGUACUCCAACCCAGUAAGUAAUAAGAGUAAAUAAAGGCUGAGCAGUAGGAAACAAUGAAUCCACAUUCACGUUAGGCUCAAUAAACACAACAGGCCUUCAAAUCAUAAUACGAGUCAAUCUUCCCUUUUAAAAUCCAGCUUUUAAUAAAAAUCAUUUUGAAAUACUUUCCAGCAGUUUCGAUAGGGGUUCAAUACCAUUUAAGAUAAUAAUAGAUAUUAAAGCCAUAAUCGGCCCCUCGGGCAAAACAUAGUUUGUAAAAUAGCCCCUCGGGCAAAACAUAGUUUGUAAAACAGCCCCUCGGGAAAAACAGUAAUCAUAAACACUUCAUAACGUAAAACUCUCAGCGGAAAUAACCAAUGCCAAAUCAGUGAUUAAUUUCUGAACAUCUCAUAAACCCCAGUUUAAAUAAAAGUUGUUUUAAAAUAUUUGUUCAACUUUCCGACAGAGGCUCAACAUAAAGAUGAGUGAAAACAGUCGAUAAAUCAACAUAUUCGAUAGAAAUUCACUUUAAAGAGGAGUGACAUCAAUAAGUCCAUAAACAGGCCUCUCAAGCAAAAACAUCACUCAUAUGCAUGUAUAUAUCUAUUGCCCCUCGGGCUAGCCUCUCUGUCACUCGUGAUUCAACUCUUACCAAUCAGUACUCGCACUCAGUAUUCACGCUCAAUUGGUACCAUAUAGUAACCGCUGCGGCAUGCAGCCCGAUCCGUAUAUCUCUCACAAUAACUGAAAUCAACGUAACCGCUGCGGCGUGCAGCCCGAUCCAUGCAUCGCUGUGGCGCACAGCCCGAUCCAUAUAAAUAGUUGACUGCGCUCACUGGGGGUGUGCAGACUCUGGAGAGGCUCUUACAACCCAAGCGCUAUAUUGAUGCGGCGCGCAGCCCGAUCCAUAUAAGUAUCGCUGCGGCGUGCAGCCUGAUCCAUAUACAUAUAUAUAUACAUUGCUGCGGCGUGCAGCCCGAUCCAUAGAUAUAUAAUCCUCACAACUAGGUGUCACACCUCCUUUUUUUUACAUAUACCCCCGUAAAGAGUGUAUAAGUAUAAGAGAGUUUUUCCAAUUAAAGGACAAUCGAAACGGGAUUUAUUUAUUAAAAUUCAGAGUCGCCACUUGGGAGAUUUAUGGUGUCCCAAGUCACCGGUAAAAAUCCCGAAUCGAGGAAAGAUUGACUCUGUUUAACAGUCCGCGAACCAGAAAUCCGGAUAAGGAAUUCUGUUAACCCGUGAGAAGGUGUUAGGCGCUCCCGAGUUCCGUGGUUCUAGCACAGUCGCUUUGAUUAUACUUGACUUAACUAAAUUGUUUAAUUACUCGUUUAGAACCUAUGCGCUUUUAACUUUUACCGCUUUUUAAUUAAAAAAAUUUUUAUCGUGAAACGGGUCACGCGCAUGUGUACCCAUUUGUUUGGCGCGUCGAAAAUCAUGUCACGCGAACGUGUCCACAAUUAGUAAUGCUUUAUUAUUAUUAAGAGAAUUUGGCCGAAGUUGUGUGAACACAUACUCCGGCUUUGUUUUUCGAAAUCGUAGACGUGUCACGCGAACGUGUCCACAACCACAAUCGUAUAUUAACGUGCCUAAAGCAAACUACGAACAUUUGUCGUUUUAUAUCUAAGUUAUAAGAAAUUAAUACGAGGGCCAUGUAUGAUUAAAAGGUGGAUGGCACACCUCGGGCUAUAUGAACUAAUUUAAUUAAAGAGGACUAUAUUAAUAACAAAUUUAUUAUUUUGCGAAAGUUUGGUCGAAGUUGCGCGAACGCAUACUUCGGGUUUGUCUUUAAAAGUCGUAAUUAUGUCACGUGAACGUGUACACAAUCACGACGAUAAAUGUAAAAUGCACAUAAAUCAUACUACAAUGUUCUGAAUAUUACUGGCCUACUAACGAUCAAAACAAAAUAAACAAGGCAACAAAAUGUAAUCUUAAUCAAUAAGAAUUACUACUGCUACUAGCGAGAUGACAUUGACCAUUCCCUCGAUUCAAAACAAUUCCCUGCUUUCCUAUCUAUUAAACUUAGUUCUUUCAUGUUCAUCAAAAGGAGAGAAUUACCAAAGCUUUCACAUACACAAACAUAACAAAACUUGGGCAUCGACGAUGAAUAAAGUGGAAUUCAAUAUCUCUCCUUCUCAAAAUAAACACAGCAAUCACCCAAAAAUACAUCUCUAACAUGAUGUGAGCAAUAGACACAAGAGAACAUCAAGUAACAUGACUAAAUACGUGAUAAGACAUGAAAUCAGGACAAACUUCAUACCAAAUAUGUAGGCAACGAGGGAUAAGGGAGGGAAAAGAAAUCCAGCUUCAUAUAAUGCUUUGGAAUUAACAAAUAUAAAUCAAAUAGUAGCUAAUCUUGAAUCAGGUAGAAGCUAUGAAUCAUAAACUAAAUCCAUACAAAUGAAAUAAAAUCACUUAAACAUUCAAACCUUUGAAAGGGAAGAGAUGGUUAGAAAUAGACCUGAAACUCAAGAAAAGUCUUCAACGAUUUGAUAAAGCAACUUUAUACACAGAGAAUUAUCUUCUAGCACCGAUGUCCAAUGAAACCUUAUCAACAAAACCCGAACUAGAGACCUCGCCGUGAACCUCAACGAGCUCAAAUUAAGAACUUCGCUGCCAAUAGAACGCCAAAUCAGAAUCGACGACUCGAAUAAACUUUACUCGGAACUCAUUUGUGAUCUACGUUGUUGUUCUAUAUAUUCGGUAUUUGGAGGUGUGAUUAACAUUGGGAUUUGGGGCUAUUUUUGGAUAGUUUUUACCGCUGUUUUUGAAGUGAUUUUGGGGUUCUCCGGUGACUCAAAGGUGACUGAUUUUGGACUAUUUCACAUGGUUAACUAGCUGUAUUUUUAUGGCUUCUCAUAGUCUGUUGUUUGAAUGGAGAAGAAGUAGUUCAGGGGUGGGGGAUCUCUUGUUGGGUUAUGCGACUGAUUGUCUGUGUGAUUUGAACAGAGGGUUGUUGGGGUGGAGCGAGGAAGACGAAAUACAGGGGGGUGGGGGUCGUGAAGACGACGACGCAGAGGGGUGGGGUCGUUUUCUUCUUGGCGUU
This 3240-nucleotide long non-coding RNA is filed under the name Nicotiana tabacum (common tobacco). Its description in RNAcentral is "long non-coding RNA (NTAB_LNC008014)". Lineage: Eukaryota; Viridiplantae; Streptophyta; Magnoliopsida; Solanales; Solanaceae. The record is from RNAcentral.